UGCCCUACGGGGCGCAGCAGUGGGGGAUAUUGCACAAUGGGGGAAACCCUGAUGCAGCGACGCCGCGUGUGGGAAGACGGUCCUCUGGAUUGUAAACCACUGUCCCCAGGGACGAAGAUGACGGUACCUGGGGAGGAAGCUCCGGCUAACUACGUGCCAGCAGCCGCGGUAAUACGUAGGGGGCAAGCGUUAUCCGGAUUUACUGGGUGUAAAGGGAGCGUAGACGGUGCGCCAAGUCUGGAGUGAAAUGCCGCAGCUUAACUGCGGAACUGCUUUGGAAACUGGCGAACUAGAGUGCGGGAGGG
This 305-nucleotide ribosomal RNA is filed under the name uncultured bacterium. RNAcentral describes it as "bacterial SSU rRNA". It matches the Rfam family "Bacterial small subunit ribosomal RNA", at positions 335 to 656 of the family's 1533-position model. The record is from RNAcentral.